AGGGUUGCCCAUAUUUGACGGACCCGUCUGGCAACGUCAUAACUUUUGACAGAGAUGUCACAUCGCUUAAUGACAUGCCGCGUUUGAAGCGUCAGUCCAAGCAGAUUUUUACCAUGAACCAAUACACGACACGCGAGCGCUCUGAUAUAGUUGAAAUUUACAUUCAUCAGAAGGAGUCAAUUGUGAAAACUCAACGUGCUUUUAAAACAUUAUAAAAUGUGAGAAGUGCGCCUUCUAAGAACACCAUUAAGCGUUUAUACGAAAAUUUUUCGACUGGUAAGGCUCUUUCUAAUCCGAACAGGCCAUAUAAAAGUCGACCAAGGCGAUCGGCCGAGAAUAUCGCUGCCGUACGAGCCAGUGUUGAGAGGUCCCCAAGAACAUCGCAAAAACGCCGUUCUCAGCAUUUGGGCAUGGCUCGGUCCACUUUACAACGGAUUAUUCGCAUUGAUUUGCAUCUUUUCCCGUUCAAAAUUCAAUUGACGCAAAGAAUGUUGCCUGCGGACAAGCCUCGUCGAUUGGAAUGGCCCCAAAGAAACAUGGGUCCGUCGAAUAUGGGCAACCCUGUAAAU
Long non-coding RNA from Musca vetustissima, 569 nucleotides. RefSeq lists it as uncharacterized. The transcript is spliced from 3 exons. Lineage: Eukaryota; Metazoa; Arthropoda; Insecta; Diptera; Muscidae. The record is from RefSeq and is a predicted model, not a curated record.